RNAcentral lists this ribosomal RNA (500 nucleotides) under uncultured bacterium. RNAcentral describes it as "partial 16S ribosomal RNA". It matches the Rfam family "Bacterial small subunit ribosomal RNA", at positions 30 to 523 of the family's 1533-position model. The record is from RNAcentral.
AUUGAACGCUGGCGGCAGGCCUAACACAUGCAAGUCGAGCGGAUGAGAGGAGCUUGCUCUUCGAUUCAGCGGCGGACGGGUGAGUAAUGCCUAGGAAUCUGCCUAGUAGUGGGGGACAACGUUUCGAAAGGAACGCUAAUACCGCAUACGUCCUACGGGAGAAAGUGGGGGAUCUUCGGACCUCACGCUAUUAGAUGAGCCUAGGUCGGAUUAGCUAGUUGGUAGGGUAACGGCCUACCAAGGCGACGAUCCGUAACUGGUCUGAGAGGAUGCUCAGUCACACUGGAACUGAGACACGGUCCAGACUCCUACGGGAGGCGGCAGUGGGGAAUAUUGGACAAUGGGCGAAAGCCUGAUCCAGCCAUGCCGCGUGUGUGAAGAAGGCCCUCGGGUCGUAAAGCACUUUAAGUUGGGAGGAAGGGCUUACAGCGAAUACCUGUGAGUUUUGACGUUACCGACAGAAUAAGCACCGGCUAACUUCGUGCCAGCCGCCGCAGUAA